RNAcentral lists this unclassified non-coding RNA (306 nucleotides) under plant metagenome. RNAcentral's name for it is "partial contains 5.8S ribosomal RNA, internal transcribed spacer 2, and large subunit ribosomal RNA". The stretch from base 1 to 105 matches the Rfam family "5.8S ribosomal RNA", at positions 50 to 154 of the family's 154-position model. The record is from RNAcentral.
GAAAUGCGAUAAGUAAUGUGAAUUGCAGAAUUCAGUGAAUCAUCGAAUCUUUGAACGCACAUUGCGCCCGCCAGUAUUCUGGCGGGCAUGCCUGUCCGAGCGUCAUUUCAACCAUCAAGCCCCCGGGCUUGUGUUGGGGACCUGCGGCUGCCGGCAGGCCCUGAAAACCAGUGGCGGGCUCGCUGUCACACCGAGCGUAGUAGCAAUCACCUCGCUCAGGGCGUGCUGCGGGUUCCGGCCGUUAAACAGCCUUACAAAACCCAAGGUUGACCUCGGAUCAGGUAGGAAGACCCGCUGAACUUAAGC